UGCAGCAACGCCGCGUGAGGGACGACGGCCUUCGGGUUGUAAACCUCUUUUAGCAAGGAAGAAGCGAAAGUGACGGUACUUGCAGAAAAAGCGCCGGCUAACUACGUGCCAGCAGCCGCGGUAAUACGUAGGGCGCAAGCGUUAUCCGGAAUUAUUGGGCGUAAAGAGCUCGUAGGCGGUUUGUCGCGUCUGCUGUGAAAACCCGAGGCUCAACCUCGGGCCUGCAGUGGGUACGGGCAGACUAGAGUGCGGUAGGGGAGAUUGGAAUUCCUGGUGUAGCGGUGGAAUGCGCAGAUAUCAGGAGGAACACCGAUGGCGAAGGCAGAUCUCUGGGCCGUAACUGACGCUCAGGAGCGAAAGGGUGGGGAGCAAACAGGCUUAGAUACCCUGGUAGUCCACCCCGUAAACGUUGGGAACUAGUUGUGGGGUCCAUUCCACGGAUUCCGUGACGCAUCUUACGCAUUAAGUUCCCCGCCUGGGGAGUACGGCCGCAAGGCUAAAACUCAAAGGAAUUGACGGGGACCCGCACAAGCGGCGGAGCAUGCGGAUUAAUUCAAUGCAACGCGAAGAACCUUACCAAGGCUUGACAUAUACCAGAACGCUGCAUAAAUGUAGAACUCUUUGGACA
This 628-nucleotide ribosomal RNA is filed under the name Microbacterium sp. So1Pw_1126. RNAcentral describes it as "bacterial SSU rRNA". It matches the Rfam family "Bacterial small subunit ribosomal RNA", at positions 387 to 1024 of the family's 1533-position model. Lineage: Bacteria; Bacillati; Actinomycetota; Actinomycetes; Micrococcales; Microbacteriaceae. The record is from RNAcentral.